Molecule: ribosomal RNA, 274 nt
Filed under: uncultured bacterium
Lineage: Bacteria
Description: partial 16S ribosomal RNA
Rfam family: Bacterial small subunit ribosomal RNA
Source: RNAcentral
AUACGGAGGGUGCAAGCGUUGUUCGGAAUCACUGGGCGUAAAGGGCGCGCAGGCGGUUUGAUUAGUCAGAUGUGAAAGCCCACGGCUUAACCGUGGAAGUGCAUAUGAAACUGUCAGACUUGAGUAUCAGAGGGGAAAGUGGAAUUCCCGGUGUAGAGGUGAAAUUCGUAGAUAUCGGGAGGAAUACCGGUGGCGAAGGCGACUUUCUGGCUGAAUACUGACGCUGAGGCGCGAAAGCGUGGGGAGCAAACAGGAUUAGAAACCCGGGUAGUCC